This 429-nucleotide ribosomal RNA is filed under the name Gemmatimonadota bacterium. RNAcentral describes it as "Gemmatimonadetes bacterium partial 16S ribosomal RNA". It matches the Rfam family "Bacterial small subunit ribosomal RNA", at positions 355 to 776 of the family's 1533-position model. The record is from RNAcentral. Lineage: Bacteria; Pseudomonadati; Gemmatimonadota.
UAGGGAAUCUUCGGCAAUGGACGAAAGUCUGACCGAGCAACGCCGCGUGAGUGAAGAAGGUUUUCGGAUCGUAAAACUCUGUUGUUAGAGAAGAACAAGGACGUUAGUAACUGAACGUCCCCUGACGGUAUCUAACCAGAAAGCCACGGCUAACUACGUGCCAGCAGCCGCGGUAAUACGUAGGUGGCAAGCGUUGUCCGGAUUUAUUGGGCGUAAAGCGAGCGCAGGCGGUUUCUUAAGUCUGAUGUGAAAGCCCCCGGCUCAACCGGGGAGGGUCAUUGGAAACUGGGCGACUUGAGUGCAGAAGAGGAGAGUGGAAUUCCAUGUGUAGCGGUGAAAUGCGUAAAUAUAUGGAGGAACGCCAGUGGCGAAGGCGGCUCUCUGGUAUGUAACUGACGCUGAGGCUCGAAAGCGUGGGGAGCAAACAGG